RNAcentral lists this ribosomal RNA (398 nucleotides) under uncultured bacterium. RNAcentral describes it as "bacterial SSU rRNA". It matches the Rfam family "Bacterial small subunit ribosomal RNA", at positions 29 to 429 of the family's 1533-position model. The record is from RNAcentral.
AGUGAACGCUGGCGGCGUGCUUAACACAUGCAAGUCGAACGGCAGCGGGGGCUUCGGCCUGCCGGCGAGUGGCGAACGGGUGAGUAAUGCAUCGGAACGUGCCCAUGUCGUGGGGGAUAACGUAGCGAAAGCUACGCUAAUACCGCAUAUUCUGUGAGCAGGAAAGCAGGGGAUCGCAAGACCUUGCGCUGAUUGAGCGGCCGAUAUCGGAUUAGCUAGUUGGUGAGGUAAAGGCUCACCAAGGCGACGAUCUGUAGCGGGUCUGAGAGGAUGAUCCGCCACACUGGAACUGAGACACGGUCCAGACUCCUACGGGAGGCAGCAGUGGGGAAUUUUGGACAAUGGGCGCAAGCCUGAUCCAGCCAUGCCGCGUGAGUGAAGAAGGCCUCGGUUGUAAG